This 540-nucleotide long non-coding RNA is filed under the name Gossypium barbadense (sea-island cotton). RNAcentral's name for it is "long non-coding RNA (GBAR_LNC003441)". The record is from RNAcentral. Lineage: Eukaryota; Viridiplantae; Streptophyta; Magnoliopsida; Malvales; Malvaceae.
AUCCAUCAUAGGUUUUAUCCCCCUUAGGUAUCUAAAGGGUUUAGUUCAUAAUAAAAUAAGAGUACAUCUCAAAAGUAUGAAAAUAACAAAACAUAAAGAAAACUCUAAAACCCCUGAAAGAAUUCUGAGAGAGAUCUUCAGUCUUGGAGUAGCUCCGGCUUUUGAGAUGGAUCGUCUGGCUUCCUUCAAGUAAUUCCCGGCGUGUGGUUUUGUGUUCCAGAAAAGUUCUGGAGAGCGAGGCCCCUUUCUAGGUCAUACUUAGGGUGUUUUUAUAGGCUUUUGGUUGGCUUUCUUUCCCCAUAAGUAUCCUUUUUCCGUGUAAAAUACAACUCCUUGAAAAAGGGACACGCCCAUGUGCCACGGCCGUGUGACGUGGUUUUCAGGCCGUGUUCGAUCCAUUAAAUUGCCACGGCCAUGUGGGCUCAAUGGCCAGGCCGUGCGAGUCGUGUAAACCUUGGUCGACACCCUCGAAAGGCACAGGUGUGUGAGCUGCCCGUGUGGCAAGGCUUAGGCCGUGUGGUCUUCUCGAUUUGGUCUGUU